AGCUUUAUAUUCAAAAAUGAUUUAAAAUUGCAAAUUUAAGGAGUAAAUAAAUUUACUAAGGCUU
RNAcentral lists this transfer RNA (64 nucleotides) under Hieromantis kurokoi. RNAcentral describes it as "tRNA-Cys". The record is from RNAcentral. Lineage: Eukaryota; Metazoa; Arthropoda; Insecta; Lepidoptera; Stathmopodidae.